This 58-nucleotide transfer RNA is filed under the name Semnoderes armiger. RNAcentral describes it as "tRNA-Pro". Lineage: Eukaryota; Metazoa; Kinorhyncha; Cyclorhagida; Kentrorhagata; Semnoderidae. The record is from RNAcentral.
AAUUUUUAGUUUAAGAAAAAAUAAUAAGUUUGGAACUUAUAGAAAAUAUUAUAGAUAA